GCUGUAACGGUUAUUGCAAUUGAAGCUGUGUGCGUGGUGUAUUUGAUACGCUGGUUGAACCGUAGACUUGCUCGUGAAGUAGAUAAAGCAAAACCGGACGGGUCGCUAUCGUCUACUGAGGAUUUCGAUUUCUCGUUGUACCUGAAACAGGGGACAGUCUGGGUUCUAGAAUCUGAAAGAAUACCAAAGGCUCUUCCAGUGGAUAAAGCCGUGACGCAGCAAAAAAGCAAGAAGGAGGUCUUAGAGGUUACACCUACUCAGAAAUUUGCACAAAUCAAGGAUCAUCAUCUCGUAUUUACAGAGUCAGAUGGUUCCCAUGUAGAAAUUCCACUGAAAGGUUGCAUAAUAGCAGCUGUUUCAGCGUCAAGCUUGUCCACUAGAAAAUGGGCGAAAAGAUAUCCUAUCAAAAUAGAGUGCAGAGCAUCAACUUCAUGUGAAGGAAGUAGAAUACUGUACAUUUAUCUUGAGACAUGUUGGGAGAAAGAAGCAUGGUGCAAAUCCCUUCGUCUUGCUUCCUGCGAGGACCAAGUAAAACUUACGUGGUUUGCCAAGUUGAACAUAGAGUUUCAAAAUUACCUGACGUCAUUAAAUGCAGGUUAUCCUUCAUUUAUGAAACCGUAUUCAAGUGUUAGUCCUGAUUUAGGUGAUAAAUCAAGUAAGUUUGAUGGUUCCUCAUCAAAAGUUCG
RNAcentral lists this unclassified non-coding RNA (686 nucleotides) under Hevea brasiliensis (rubber tree). Lineage: Eukaryota; Viridiplantae; Streptophyta; Magnoliopsida; Malpighiales; Euphorbiaceae. The record is from RNAcentral.